Non-coding RNA from Nicotiana attenuata, 105 nucleotides. The record is from Rfam. NCBI's taxonomy places the organism in Eukaryota, Viridiplantae, Streptophyta, Magnoliopsida, Solanales, Solanaceae.
AUUGUGAUGAGGACAGUCUCUGGGCAACCCCUUGAACCUCUCCCAAUCUGAGUAUAAAGACUCCCCCGCUUUCUGUUUGAAGGCAACUAUUUUACUUCUGAUCUU